This 468-nucleotide ribosomal RNA is filed under the name uncultured bacterium. RNAcentral's name for it is "partial 16S ribosomal RNA". It matches the Rfam family "Bacterial small subunit ribosomal RNA", at positions 28 to 507 of the family's 1533-position model. The record is from RNAcentral.
GACGAACGCUGGCGGCGUGCUUAACACAUGCAAGUCGAACGGUAACGCUCCAGCUAGCUGGGGUGCGUCAGUGGCGAACGGGUGAGUAACACGUGAGCAACCUGCCCCGGACUGUGGAAUAAGCGCUGGGAACGGCUUCUAAUACUGGAUACGAGAAGGGGCCGCAUGGGCACUUUCUGGAAAGUUGUUCCGUUGGGGAUGGGCUCGCGGCCUAUCAGCUUGUUGGUGAGGUAAUGGCUCACCAAGGCGACGACGGGUAGCCGGCCUGAGAGGGCGACCGGCCACACUGGGACUGAGACACGGCCCAGACUGCUACGGGAGGCAGCAGUGGGGAAUAUUGCACAAUGGGCGCAAGCCUGAUGAAGCGACGCCGCGUGUGGGAUGACGGCCUUCGGGUUGUAAACCUCUUUCAGCAGGGAAGAAGCGAUAGUGACGGUACCUGAAGAAGAAGCACCGGCUAACUACGUG